CUUGGUCAUUUAGAGGAAGUAAAAGUCGUAACAAGGUACUGGUAGGUGAACCUGCCAGUGGAUCAUUACUAUGGGCUACGGCCCUUAAGAUAUCAACCCUGACUUUUGGAAGUACCGUCCGUUUCCUCGGCAGGCCCGCCUGCCAGCGAGGACCCUUUAAAACCUUUCAAUCGUAGCAGUGUUUGUCUGAAAAAUACGCAAAUGAAUUAAAACUUUCAACAAUGGAUCUCUUGAUUCCGGCUUCGAUGAAGAACGCAGCGAAAUGCGAUAACUAGUGUGAAUUGCAGAAUUCAGUGAAUCAUCGAGUCUUUGAACGCACAUUGCGCCCCUUGGUAUUCCAUGGGGCAUGCCUGUUCGAGCGUCAUUUGUACCUUCAAGCUUUGCUUGGUGUUGGGUGUUUGUCUCGCCUCUGCGUGUAGACUCGCCUUAAAACAAUUGGCAGCCGGCGUAUUGAUUUCGGAGCGCAGUACAUCUCGCGCUUUGCACUCAUAACGACGACGUCCAAAAGUACAUUUUUACACUCUUGACCUCGGAUCAGGUAGGGAUACCCGCUGAACUUAAGCAUAUCAAUAAGCGGAGGA
This 581-nucleotide ribosomal RNA is filed under the name uncultured Phoma. Its description in RNAcentral is "eukaryotic LSU rRNA". The stretch from base 211 to 364 matches the Rfam family "5.8S ribosomal RNA". The record is from RNAcentral. Lineage: Eukaryota; Fungi; Ascomycota.